ACGGAGAGUUUGAUCCUGGCUCAGAACGAACGCUGGCGGCGCGUUUUAAGCAUGCAAGUCGAGCGGUAAGGUCCUUCGGGACCCCAGAGCGGCGGACGGGUGAGUAACACGUGGAUAAUCUGCCUCUCAGUCCGGGAUAGCACAUGGAAACAUGUGAUAAUACCGGAUGAGAUGCGUCCUUCACAUGAGGGAUGCAGGAAAGGUCCUGCGGGAUCGCUGAGAGAUGAGUCCGCGGCCCAUUAGCUAGUUGGCGGGGUAAAGGCCCACCAAGGCGACGAUGGGUAGCCGGCCUGAGAGGGUGGACGGCCACAUUGGGACUGAGACACGGCCCAGACUCCUACGGGAGGCAGCAGCUAAGAAUCUUCCACAAUGGACGAAAGUCUGAUGGAGCGACGCCGCGUGAACGAUGAAGGCCGUAAGGUUGUAAAGUUCUUUUUGGAAGGAAGAAUAAGGCGGGCAGGGAAUGGCCUGCUGAUGACGUGAAUUCCAGAAUAAGCCCCGGCUAACUACGUGCCAGCAGCCGCGGUAACACGUAGGGGGCGAGCGUUGUUCGGAAUUAUUGGGCGUAAAGGGCACGCAGGCGGCUUGGCAAGUCUGAUGUAAAAAUUCAGGGCUCAACCCUGUCUGGCGUUGGAAACUGCUGAGCUUGAGUACAGGAGGGGAUAUUGGAAUUCCAGGUGUAGGGGUGAAAUCUGUAGAUAUCUGGAAGAACACCGAUGGCGAAGGCAAAUAUCUGGCCAUGUACUGACGCUGAGGUGCGAAGGUGCGGGGAGCAAACAGGUUUAGAUACCCUGGUAGUCCGCACAGUAAACGAUGUACAUUAGGUGGCGGCAGCAAUGUCGGUACCGAAGCAAACGCAUUAAAUGUACCGCCUGGGGAGUAUGCUCGCAAGGGUGAAACUCAAAGGAAUUGACGGGGGCCCGCACAAGCGGUGGAGCAUGUGGUUUAAUUCGAUGAUACGCGAGAAACCUUACCAGGGCUUGACAUAUACUAGGAUAGUGCAGAGAUGUGCUAGCUGCUUGCAGCUGGUAUACAGGUGCUGCAUGGCUGUCGUCAGCUCGUGCUGUGAAGUGUGAGAUUAAGUUCUUCAACGAGCGCAACCCCUGCUGUCUGUUACUAACAGGUAAAGCUGAGGACUCAGAUGGGACUGCCGGUGACAAAUCGGAGGAAGGUGGGGACGACGUCAAGUCAUCAUGGCCCUUAUGUCCUGGGCAACACACGUGCUACAAUGGCCGGUACAGAGCGCAGCGAAGCCGCGAGGCAGAGCAAAUCGCAAAAAGCCGAUCUCAGUACGGAUUGCAGUCUGCAACUCGACUGCAUGAAGUUGGAAUCGCUAGUAAUCGCGCAUCAGCAUGGCGCGGUGAAUACGUUCCCGGGCCUUGUACACACCGCCCGUCACACCAUCCGAGUCGGAGGUACCCGAAGUCGCCAGUCUAACCGCAAGGGGGACGGUUCCGAAGGUACGUCUGGUGAGGGGGGUGAAGUCGUAACAAGGUAGCCGUACCGGAAGGUGCGGCUGGAUCACCUCCUU
RNAcentral lists this ribosomal RNA (1531 nucleotides) under human gut metagenome. RNAcentral describes it as "Bacterial small subunit ribosomal RNA". It matches the Rfam family "Bacterial small subunit ribosomal RNA". The record is from RNAcentral.